UGCAAAUGAUGUUUUUCUCACGAUGGUCUUCCAAGUUGAUCUUUGACGACACUGCCUAAUGGCUUCACUGAAGCAGCGCU
Molecule: small nucleolar RNA, 80 nt
Organism: Synchiropus splendidus (mandarinfish)
Lineage: Eukaryota; Metazoa; Chordata; Actinopteri; Syngnathiformes; Callionymidae
Product: small nucleolar RNA SNORD35
Exons: 1
Source: RefSeq, a predicted model, not a curated record